Molecule: long non-coding RNA, 1015 nt
Filed under: Triticum aestivum (bread wheat)
Lineage: Eukaryota; Viridiplantae; Streptophyta; Magnoliopsida; Poales; Poaceae
Description: long non-coding RNA (TAES_LNC007570)
Source: RNAcentral
UAGCACAUCACGAGGCGGACGCUGAGGCCGAGAACAACCGCACAAGAUAACCCGGGACCGGAGAAGGGGAUCGCUCUGGCGAAUGGCCCAAUCCGUUCCUCGGUAAAUCCGCUAGCAAAAUCAUCAUCCUGCCUAAAUUCCCCGUGCUUCCGAUCGAAUCGCCCCGGUUGCCGCAGGAAACCCAAUCUGGUUUCCCUCUUUCCCUGAACCAAAGAAAUCCCCCGAUCGCUGUUCCGCGGCUGCUUUUCCGGUCAGUUUCUUGAUCUGGUUCGUGGGCUGAUUGCCUGUCGCCCUGGAUUUCUGCGGCACCCUUUCUCCUUUGUGUGUAUGGAUUUUUGGUCCGUAUGGUGGGGGAUCUUGGAUGCGUUCAUGUGUGAUUCUAGUUCUUGUGCUCUGGUCAUCGAUGUGGUGAUCGCUUUCAGAUCGUUCCUAGUGUUAUCGGUCUGAGGCAAUCUAGAUGCCUUCUGUCGCCCAUAGAUUUAGCUGCAAGAUUAUUUUUUAACACUGUUGAUGUGCAAUGGACAGUUUUUAUUUGCUGAUUUUGCUGCAUUGCAUCAUAUAUUACAUAAUUUGUAGUUCAUUGUUGUUUCUGAUGUGUAGAAGCUCUGUAAAUGGACAAUGCCAUACUGUUUCUGCAGAGAUAAAUGGUCAUAGGACUCAAUUCAGCAAUGUGGUGACAGCCUUUGAUUUGUUUAUGCAGGACUGCUUUCUGAACUGUUGGCAUGGUUCAUCCUAGGUUCCUUGUUGCUUGUUCAGGCUCUAAAUUGUGCUUCAUCUCCAAUUGUUGCAGUAACUUCAAGAGCAUGAUUGGCGGUUCGACGAUGGAAUCUUUACUGCUGAUGGAUUUGAAUCAGAAACCUCAAUGCAGUUGAAGCCUCCGUGCAGAGUCAGAGUUAGUUGUUACUAGAACAAUUGCAACAGUUUUGGAGAUUGAAAGUAAUAGCUGAAGGGGUCAUUGGAAGAUCCAAAUUAGCGCAUUUUAGGAGAAACUUCAAGUUUGUUCUCCUUUUGUUGA